Molecule: long non-coding RNA, 333 nt
Organism: Perca fluviatilis (European perch)
Lineage: Eukaryota; Metazoa; Chordata; Actinopteri; Perciformes; Percidae
Exons: 4
Source: RefSeq, a predicted model, not a curated record
GCCAGGCGCAAGUUCCCGUCUUUCACGGAGUGAACUGGAGCAAACUGACAUUUACCACUGAUGUGACUAAUGAGCUGCUGUGGCUGUAGAGCUCUGGAAAAUACUCCUCCUCCCGCAUUAACUGUGCUAUAGGAGUUUGUGUCCUUGCAAAGGGGACCAGUCCAGUCGCUGUUUUCUACGAUUCACAGCUUGAUCCUGUACAAGGCUGGGUCCGUGUCAACACACUGUCUCCUCGUGGUGAGACUGCACUGGGUGACACUCGCGGUGUGUAUGUAGCCUCGACACUGUAGAUUUUGUAGAGACUUGCAUGAUAUUUUGCAGUGAAUCGUGUAG